UACGAAGGGGGCUAGCGUUGCUCGGAAUCACUGGGCGUAAAGCGCACGUAGGCGGAUCGUUAAGUCAGGGGUGAAAUCCUGGAGCUCAACUCCAGAACUGCCUUUGAUACUGGCGACCUUGAGUUCGGGAGAGGUGAGUGGAACUGCGAGUGUAGAGGUGAAAUUCGUAGAUAUUCGCAAGAACACCAGUGGCGAAGGCGGCUCACUGGCCCGAUACUGACGCUGG
RNAcentral lists this ribosomal RNA (226 nucleotides) under uncultured bacterium. RNAcentral describes it as "partial 16S ribosomal RNA". It matches the Rfam family "Bacterial small subunit ribosomal RNA", at positions 524 to 749 of the family's 1533-position model. The record is from RNAcentral.